RNAcentral lists this ribosomal RNA (559 nucleotides) under Cystobasidium slooffiae. Its description in RNAcentral is "partial large subunit ribosomal RNA". It matches the Rfam family "Eukaryotic large subunit ribosomal RNA", at positions 101 to 648 of the family's 3401-position model. The record is from RNAcentral. Lineage: Eukaryota; Fungi; Basidiomycota; Cystobasidiomycetes; Cystobasidiales; Cystobasidiaceae.
GGGAAAGCUCAACUUUGAAAUCUGGCACCUUCGGUGUCCGAGUUGUAGUCUCAAGAAGUGUUUUCUGUGCUGGUCCAUGUAUGAGUCUGUUGGAACACAGCGUCAUAGAGGGUGACAACCCCGUUCAUGACAUGGAUACCAGUGCUUUGUGAUACACUCUCGAAGAGUCGAGUUGUUUGGGAAUGCAGCUCAAAUUGGGUGGUAAAUUCCAUCUAAAGCUAAAUAUUGGCGAGAGACCGAUAGCAAACAAGUACCGUGAGGGAAAGAUGAAAAGCACUUUGGAAAGAGAGUUAACAGUACGUGAAAUUGUUGAAAGGGAAACGAUUGAAGUCAGACGUGCGUGAUGCGGUUCAGCACUGGUUCGCCAGUGUGUAUUCCGUAUCUUUGCAGGCCAACAUCAGUUUCGGUAGUCGGAUAAAGGUUAGUUGAAUGUGGCACCCACGGGUGUGUUAUAGGUUCUAACUGAAUACGAUUUCUGGGACUGAGGAACGCAGCGCGCCGCAGGCAAAGGUUCCGACCUUUUCGCGCUUAGGAUGUUGGUGAAAUGGCUUUAAACGAC